RNAcentral lists this ribosomal RNA (492 nucleotides) under uncultured bacterium. RNAcentral describes it as "partial 16S ribosomal RNA". It matches the Rfam family "Bacterial small subunit ribosomal RNA", at positions 29 to 507 of the family's 1533-position model. The record is from RNAcentral.
AGUGAACGCUGGCGGUAGGCCUAACACAUGCAAGUCGAACGGCAGCACAGUAAGAGCUUGCUCUUACGGGUGGCGAGUGGCGGACGGGUGAGGAAUACAUCGGAAUCUACUUUUUCGUGGGGGAUAACGUAGGGAAACUUACGCUAAUACCGCAUACGACCUACGGGUGAAAGCAGGGGAUCUUCGGACCUUGCGCGAGUGAAUGAGCCGAUGUCGGAUUAGCUAGUUGGCGGGGUAAAGGCCCACCACGGCGACGAUCCGUAGCUGGUCUGAAAGGAUGAUCAGACACCUGGGCAGUGAGACAGGGCCCCGACUCUUACGGGAGGAAGCAGUGGGGAAUAUUGGACAAUGGGGGCAAGCCUGAUACAGCAAUACCGCGGGGGUGAAGAAGGCCUUCGGGUGGUAAAGCCCUUUUGUUGGGAAAGAAAAGAAGCAGGUUAAUACCCCGCUGUUCUGACGGUACCGAAAGAAUAAGCACCGGCUAACUUCGUG